CAACAUUGAACCUUCGGGGGAUUUGUUGGGCGGCGAGCGGCGGACGGGUGAGUAAUGCCUAGGAAAUUGCCCUGAUGUGGGGGAUAACCAUUGGAAACGAUGGCUAAUACCGCAUGAUGCCUACGGGCCAAAGAGGGGGACCUUCGGGCCUCUCGCGUCAGGAUAUGCCUAGGUGGGAUUAGCUAGUUGGUGAGGUAAGGGCUCACCAAGGCGACGAUCCCUAGCUGGUCUGAGAGGAUGAUCAGCCACACUGGAACUGAGACACGGUCCAGACUCCUACGGGAGGCAGCAGUGGGGAAUAUUGCACAAUGGGCGCAAGCCUGAUGCAGCCAUGCCGCGUGCAUGAAGAAGGCCUUCGGGUUGUAAAGUACUUUCAGUAGGGAGGAAGGUUCAUGCGUUAAUAGCGUAUGGAUUUGACGUUACCUACAGAAGAAGCACCGGCUAACUCCGUGCCAGCAGCCGCGGUAAUACGGAGGGUGCGAGCGUUAAUCGGAAUUACUGGGCGUAAAGCGCAUGCAGGUGGUUAGUUAAGUCAGAUGUGAAAGCCCGGGGCUCAACCUCGGAAUUGCAUUUGAAACUGGCUGACUAGAGUACUGUAGAGGGGGGUAGAAUUUCAGGUGUAGCGGUGAAAUGCGUAGAGAUCUGAAGGAAUACCGGUGGCGAAGGCGGCCCC
This 673-nucleotide ribosomal RNA is filed under the name uncultured bacterium. RNAcentral's name for it is "bacterial SSU rRNA". It matches the Rfam family "Bacterial small subunit ribosomal RNA", at positions 67 to 728 of the family's 1533-position model. The record is from RNAcentral.